RNAcentral lists this ribosomal RNA (606 nucleotides) under Triticum aestivum (bread wheat). RNAcentral's name for it is "partial small subunit ribosomal RNA". The record is from RNAcentral. Lineage: Eukaryota; Viridiplantae; Streptophyta; Magnoliopsida; Poales; Poaceae.
AUGGCGCGAACUGCUCGAGACUUGAAGAUCUGGAGCUCCUCCCUCUUCAGCAACGCCAAGCUACAAUUCCACAUAGCAACUGAGAUUAUCCUGUGCCUAGAUGUAGCCCAAGAAUCCCGCAACCUCUCCACACCUGGAUUCAAUCUCCGGCGGCUUCUCAAGCAGAGAUUGCUCGGCCUUGCCGCGAUCGAGCGUGCGCGCAAACGUCAAGCACCCCAGCUGACAUGGCUCAAGAGGGGCGACGCGGGAACCAAGUUCUUCCAUGCAAUUUUUUUCUCGCGGCGCAGAAAAAACUUCAUCCACAGCCUGCAGACAAACAACGGGAUUGCCACAGCUCACGAGGAUAAGGCGGCAGUCAUUUUUGAGCACUUCAACUCCGUCCUCGGUUCCAAAGGAGCAUGCCCAAGAUCCAUUGACUGGCGCCAGUUACAGCUGCCCACGAUCUGUGGGGGAGGCCUGGACAAUACAUUCAGUGAAGACGAGGUCUGGGAGGUGAUCAAGGCCUCGUCGGCAGAAAAAGCUCCGGGGCCGGACGGCUUCAUAGGAACUUUCUUCCGUAGUUGUUGGCAAACUAUCAAACAUGACAUCAUGCAGGCAUUCUACUAG